Molecule: ribosomal RNA, 439 nt
Filed under: uncultured bacterium
Lineage: Bacteria
Description: partial 16S ribosomal RNA
Rfam family: Bacterial small subunit ribosomal RNA
Source: RNAcentral
CUACGGGGGGCUCCAGUGGGGAAUCUUAGACAAUGGGGGAAACCCUGAUCUAGCCAUGCCGCGUGAGCGACGACGGCCCUAGGGUUGUAAAGCUCUUUCAGCAGGGAAGAUAAUGACGGUACCUGCAGAAGAAGUCCCGGCUAACUCCGUGCCAGCAGCCGCGGUAAUACGGAGGGGACUAGCGUUGUUCGGUAUUACUGGGCGUAAAGCGCGCGUAGGCGGAUUGUUAAGUCGGGGGUGAAAUCCCGGGGCUCAACCCCGGAACUGCCCUCGAUACUGGCAGUCUUGAGUUCGAGAGAGGUGAGUGGAAUUCCGAGUGUAGAGGUGAAAUUCGUAGAUAUUCGGAAGAACACCAGUGGCGAAGGCGACUAACUGGACAUAUAUUGACGCUGAGGUACGAAAGCGUGGGGAGCAAACAGGAUUAGAUACCCUCGUAGUC